AAUUCGAUGCAACGCGAAAAACCUUACCUACCCUUGACAUGUCUGGAAUCCUGAAGAGAUUUGGGAGUGCUCGAAAGAGAGCCAGAACACAGGUGCUGCAUGGCCGUCGUCAGCUCGUGUCGUGAGAUGUUGGGUUAAGUCCCGCAACGAGCGCAACCCUUGUCAUUAGUUGUUACGAAAGGGCACUUUAAUGAGACUGCCGGUGACAAACCGGAGGAAGGUGGGGAUGACGUCAGGUCAUCAUGGCCCUUAUGGGUAGGGCUACACACGUCAUACAAUGGCCGGGACAGAAGGCUGCCAACCCGCGAGGGGGAGCUAAUCCCAGAAACCCGGUCGUAGUCCGGAUCGUAGUCUGCAACUCGACUGCGUGAAGUCGGAAUCGCUAGUAAUCGCGGAUCAGCUUGCCGCGGUGAAUACGUUCCCGGGUCUUGUACACACCGCCCGUCACACCAUGGGAGCGGGUUCUGCCAGAAGUAG
Molecule: ribosomal RNA, 477 nt
Filed under: uncultured Roseateles sp.
Lineage: Bacteria; Pseudomonadati; Pseudomonadota; Betaproteobacteria; Burkholderiales; Sphaerotilaceae
Description: bacterial SSU rRNA
Rfam family: Bacterial small subunit ribosomal RNA
Source: RNAcentral